UGGGGAAUUUUGCGCAGUGACCGAAAGGUUGACGCAGCAACGCCGCGUGUAUGAUGAAGGCUUUCGGGUCGUAAAGUACUUUCAGUGGGGAAAAACUGCGUAAUCAGUAACUGGGUUAUGAUUGACGGUACCCACAGAAGCAGCCCCGGCUAACUCCGUGCCAGCAGCCGCGGUAAUACGGAUGGGGCAAGCGUUGUUCGGAGUCACUGGGCGUAAAGAGCUCUGAGGCAGCACUGUAAGUCGGGAGUUAAAGGCAACGGCUCAACUGUUGUAAGGCUUCUGAAACUACAUUGCUAGAGUGCCAGAGAGGUAUGCAGAAUUCCCUGUGUAGCGGUGAAAUGCAUAGAUAUAGGGAGGAACACCGGUUGCGAAGGCGGCAUACUGGCUGGUAACUGACGCUGAGAGCGAAAGCGUGGUAGCAAACA
Molecule: ribosomal RNA, 425 nt
Filed under: uncultured Geovibrio sp.
Lineage: Bacteria; Pseudomonadati; Deferribacterota; Deferribacteres; Deferribacterales; Geovibrionaceae
Description: bacterial SSU rRNA
Rfam family: Bacterial small subunit ribosomal RNA
Source: RNAcentral